Molecule: ribosomal RNA, 608 nt
Filed under: Leucosporidium fragarium
Lineage: Eukaryota; Fungi; Basidiomycota; Microbotryomycetes; Leucosporidiales; Leucosporidiaceae
Description: eukaryotic LSU rRNA
Rfam family: Eukaryotic large subunit ribosomal RNA
Source: RNAcentral
AACUAACAAGGAUUCCCCUAGUAACGGCGAGUGAAGCGGGAAGAGCUCAAAUUUGUAAUCUGGCACUUUCAGUGUCCGAGUUGUAAUCUCGAGAAGUAUUUUCCGCGCCGGACCGCAUACAAGUCUGUUGGAAUACAGCGUCAUAGUGGUGAGAACCCCGUAACUGAUGCNGGAUGCCCGGUGCUUUGUGAUAUACUUUCGAAGAGUCGAGUUGUUUGGGAAUGCAGCUCAAAUUGGGUGGUAAAUUCCAUCUAAAGCUAAAUAUUGGAGCAAGACCGAUAGCGAACAAGUACCGUGAGGGAAAGAUGAAAAGCACUUUGGAAAGAGAGUUAACAGUACGUGAAAUUGUUGGAAGGGAAACGCUUGAAGUCAGACUUGCUAUUCGGAGUUCAGCCGCAAGGUGUAUUCUUCGAUUCGCAGGCCAGCAUCAGUUUUCGGGGGUGGAAAAUCGCGGUUUGAAGGUAGCAACUUCGGUUGUGUUAUAGCUUUCCGCUGGAUUCAUCCUUGGGGACUGAGGAACGCAGUACGCUUUUUGCAAGGCUUUCGAGCUUUUCGUACUUAGGAUGCUGGUGGAAUGGCUUUAAACGACCCGUCUUGAAACACGGACC